GGUGGGGUUCCCGAGCGGCCAAAGGGAGCAGACUGUAAAUCUGCCAUCUACGAUUUCGAAGGUUCGAAUCCUUCCCCCACCA
Molecule: transfer RNA, 82 nt
Filed under: Clostridia bacterium
Lineage: Bacteria; Bacillati; Bacillota; Clostridia
Description: tRNA-Tyr
Rfam family: tRNA
About the family: Transfer RNA (tRNA) molecules are approximately 80 nucleotides in length. Their secondary structure includes four short double-helical elements and three loops (D, anti-codon, and T loops). Further hydrogen bonds mediate the characteristic L-shaped molecular structure. tRNAs have two regions of fundamental functional importance: the anti-codon, which is responsible for specific mRNA codon recognition, and the 3' end, to which the tRNAs corresponding amino acid is attached (by aminoacyl-tRNA synthetases). tRNAs cope with the degeneracy of the genetic code in two manners: having more than one tRNA (with a specific anti-codon) for a particular amino acid; and 'wobble' base-pairing, i.e. permitting non-standard base-pairing at the 3rd anti-codon position.
Source: RNAcentral